RNAcentral lists this microRNA (22 nucleotides) under Tribolium castaneum (red flour beetle). RNAcentral's name for it is "tca-miR-6016b-5p". The record is from miRBase by way of RNAcentral. Lineage: Eukaryota; Metazoa; Arthropoda; Insecta; Coleoptera; Tenebrionidae.
AGGAGGACUUGUGGGCGUGGCA